RNAcentral lists this ribosomal RNA (253 nucleotides) under uncultured bacterium. RNAcentral's name for it is "partial 16S ribosomal RNA". It matches the Rfam family "Bacterial small subunit ribosomal RNA", at positions 524 to 776 of the family's 1533-position model. The record is from RNAcentral.
UACGAAGGGGGCUAGCGUUGCUCGGAAGCACUGGGCGUAAAGGGGGCGUAGGCGGGUUUUUAAGUCAGGGGUGAAAUCCUGGAGCUCAACUCCAGAACUGCCUUUGAUACUGAAGAUCUUGAGUCCGGGAGAGGUGAGUGGAACUGCGAGUGUAGAGGUGAAAUUCGUAGAUAUUCGCAAGAACACCAGUGGCGAAGGCGGCUGUCUGGUCCGGUUCUGACGCUGAGGCGCGAAAGCGUGGGGAGCAAACAGG